RNAcentral lists this ribosomal RNA (162 nucleotides) under Boronia algida. Its description in RNAcentral is "5.8S ribosomal RNA". It matches the Rfam family "5.8S ribosomal RNA". Rfam says of the family: 5.8S ribosomal RNA (5.8S rRNA) is a component of the large subunit of the eukaryotic ribosome. It is transcribed by RNA polymerase I as part of the 45S precursor that also contains 18S and 28S rRNA. The record is from RNAcentral. Lineage: Eukaryota; Viridiplantae; Streptophyta; Magnoliopsida; Sapindales; Rutaceae.
UAACGACUCUCGGCAACGGAUAUCUCGGCUCUCGCAUCGAUGAAGAACGUACCGAAAUGCGAUACUUGGUGUGAAUUGCAGAAUCCCGUGAACCAUCGAGUCUUUGAACGCAAGUUGCGCCCUAAGCUGUUAGGCUGAGGGCACGUCUGCCUGGGUGUCACG